CUUUUUUUUUCCAGUCAGUUUUUUCUUUGAUCUAUAGAACUCGCUUCUUUUCUCUGAAGUUUUCACAAUACAGCGUGAUAGAAGGAGCACAGUUUGAUUUUCAGCAAACCUUCAGAAGGCAAAAGGGAAAGUUUUCCCAUGGGCCAACAUGGAUUGUUUCUGUAAUAGUCUGCUCAGGCUUCUACAACAAGAUGUCACAGGCUGGGUCACCUAAACCAUGAGUGUUCAAACCCCAGCCAUGGAUCAGUAUGGGUCAGUGGCCUGUUAGGAAUCAGGCCACGCAGCAGGAGGUGAGUGGUGGACAAGUGAGCAUUACAGCCUGAGCUCCGCCUCCUGUCAGAUCAGCAGUGGCA
Molecule: long non-coding RNA, 353 nt
Filed under: Rhinopithecus bieti (black snub-nosed monkey)
Lineage: Eukaryota; Metazoa; Chordata; Mammalia; Primates; Cercopithecidae
Description: lncRNA (ENSRBIG00000045536.1)
Source: RNAcentral